This 465-nucleotide ribosomal RNA is filed under the name Vreelandella stevensii. RNAcentral describes it as "partial 16S ribosomal RNA". It matches the Rfam family "Bacterial small subunit ribosomal RNA", at positions 338 to 795 of the family's 1533-position model. The record is from RNAcentral. Lineage: Bacteria; Pseudomonadati; Pseudomonadota; Gammaproteobacteria; Oceanospirillales; Halomonadaceae.
CCUACGGGUGGCAGCAGUGGGGAAUAUUGGACAAUGGGGGGAACCCUGAUCCAGCCAUGCCGCGUGUGUGAAGAAGGCCCUCGGGUUGUAAAGCACUUUCAGUGAGGAAGAACGCCUGGUGGUUAAUACCCAUCAGGAAAGACAUCACUCACAGAAGAAGCACCGGCUAACUCCGUGCCAGCAGCCGCGGUAAUACGGAGGGUGCGAGCGUUAAUCGGAAUUACUGGGCGUAAAGCGCGCGUAGGUGGCUUGAUAAGCCGGUUGUGAAAGCCCCGGGCUCAACCUGGGAACGGCAUCCGGAACUGUCAAGCUAGAGUGCAGGAGAGGAAGGUAGAAUUCCCGGUGUAGAGGUGAAAUGCGUAGAGAUCGGGAGGAAUACCAGUGGCGAAGGCGGCCUUCUGGACUGACACUGACACUGAGGUGCGAAAGCGUGGGUAGCAAACAGGAUUAGAUACCCCGGUAGUC